CUGAGUGAAUAUGAGUUCCAGAGGACUUUUAGACUCUCAUUUACUGCUCUUUUCCAAAGCCUAGAACAGUGUCUAGCACAUACAGAGGUUCUGGAUUUGGGUGUUGAGUAAAUGAAUAAAGAGCUCACAUGGACACCUCUCAUCAAGUAUGUGGUUCUGCUUUCAAGCUCAUUCCCAACAGUCAAAGGCCCUUCUGACUGUGGUAGAUUUAUAGUCAAUAAUUCUUGCCCACACUCAUACCAGUAUGAUCAUUAUAGAGUCCAUAUUAAUAAAUGUGUUUACGGGUCAUACACAGCGACCGGAAAAGCAAUUAUUAUUAUUAUUAUUAUUAUUAUUAUUAUUAUUAUUAUUAUUAUCACCAACAUGUAUUGAGCUCAUGCCAAAUUCUGGACUCAACACUUGUCUCACGUUUAUUUCUAAUCCUUACCACAUCCCUGCAAAGUAAAUGAUAGAAUCCACAUUUUGCGGAAUAGGAAAAUAAGGCCACACAUUAAUUAUAUCCCAAACAUAUCUGCAGAUUCCCAUAUUCCUCUCAGCAUGUUUAGCAAGGCUUGUUAAUAGCCCUCUACUCUGAGCAGAUAUUCUCUCUGGGACUGGGAACAAAAGAGGCUCUCUCUCAGGGAGGGAUAGGAAAUGAGAGUGGCCUCGGUGCCGCUGACCACAUGGGGCUGUAGAGACACUGUCCCCAUGCUCUGGGCCAGGCACCAAGGAAACUGAGCAGUGGGAUGGGACGGGUGUGGGAAUGAUCCCAUAACAACUAAGGGUUAAUUAAUUUCUUGUUUUGGGGGAAAUACCCAAGAGUGCAGUUAAGCAUGCCAGCUUCUUUGAGAUCCUACCUAUGCAAUCCUAUCUCCUUAUUUGUUAUAGUGAACACUUCUAGCAGAGCCCCAUCUGCAAAAGAAAUUUCCAGGGUCCCCCUGCCCCCCCAGCUCUUCACUCUACUGCACUUCACUCUGUGACAGUGCCGGCCCUCACUCCAAGCAAGUGCCCAGACCUGGCCCCUUCAGAGUUCAGAGGUGGGGCCAGCGGGGGAGGGGCAGCCAAUUCGUGCCCUUGGCAGAUGCCCGACAUGGGGGGGGGGGCUUUGUGGGAGGAAGGUGGGAGCUGGGGUGUGCCCAGCUGGAAGCCGCCCGUAAUUUAACACUCGCAGAUGGAGACUGAGGGUGAUAUGAUACCCCCAGCUGUCUGCCCCUGCCGCCUUCAAGACCCCCUUCGGCUGCCUGGGACUCGGGAUGCUUUAGGAAGGGCCUGGUGCGGGUGGGGGCAGCCUAAUAAAGCAGCUGGUCUAUUAGAAGAUAAGCUUUGUGGAGAAUCACACAGUCAUUUCGAAUCCCCCUAAUCCCAAACUUUAUUGCCCUAGAUAAUAAGCUUUGGUGGCGACGCUCCAUUGAAAUAUGGAAUUGUCUGCAGGCUGGAGGCACCUGCUGUGUCACUCAGCUCCAGGGCGGCAACUGCCUUGCACACAAUUCAGGGGCAGGUGCACAGCUCCCGCCUGGGCUCCCGGAGGGAGGGAAGGGGGACCGUCAAGGGGGCCGGCCACGCUUGCAUGAAGGGCUCCAAAUACUCUCUGUGCCCAGGAGGCCUGGCUUAGGCCUGAGAAUGUUCUCUCUGAGGCCUGUGGAUUAAGCUGUUUGGGGAACUUGGGGAAGAAGGAGCAAGAGGGAGCAAUUGUUUGUUGAGGACGCUGAGGCUUAGAGAAAGGACCAGCUCUGCCUGCAGACCCCCGUGAUCAGUGGAUGAUCCGUCCUCCUCCUCCCUCUUGCAAUUCCUCCUGCAGCUGUCUCUGAGGCCCACCUUGGCACGGGCUGUUUCCUCUUCGGCCUCCUUCCCUACACGUCCACCUGGUGAGCUUCCCGGUCUCCUCCUCCACGAUGCUGCCUGUGUGUCCACCAAGGAGAUUUGUGUGUCUUCUCCUAUGUGUCUCUCUAGCUCUUGAUUCACAUCAGCCAUUGGAGCCCACGCAACAGUAAUUAAUCAAACAAUCAAUUAAUUUCUUCUACGCCUGUCUCUUCCACUAAACUAGGAUGUCCUUAAGGGCACGGAUCAUAUCUGAUUCAUCCUGUCCCCAGAAUCUUGGAGAUGCUCAAAAGAUUCACAAAAAGAAAGAAAAAAGAAGAAAAGAGGGAAGAGACAAAAAGAAAGGAAAAAAAAAAAAAACCCAAGAAGCAACCUACAUGCACAUAAAACAAAUCCUAUAUGGCCACUGAGAGUAAUGAAGCAUAUCUACACGUAGUCAAAAAGGAUGAGAAGUUCAAAACCUAUUGUUACGUGAAAAUAAUGCAGUGUCAAACAGCGUCUAGAAUAUUAUGUUAAAAAAAUAAUGCUGAUGGUAACGGUUGCCUUGGGAAAGUAUACCUGGAAAGGGGUUAAAAUAGGUAGAAGGGAGACUGACUUUACACUUUAAACCUUUUGUAAAACUGACAUUUUUAGCAUGUAUGAAUCUGACCUUUUUGAAAGGGUAGAAACAGCCUCACACGUGUAGAAAGACAGUUGUCGAAUGCACAAAUAAACCAGCCGUUCAUGCUCAAGUCUGUCUUAUUCCUCUUACUCAUUGUCCAAACAUGAUCUAGAAGAGUGGGAUGUGUCCCCCCUCAAAGGCAUUGGCAGCAGAUUCAGUUCCCUGAGUGCCGAGCAAUCCUUCAGGCUGGCACAGCAAUGGGUCGGUUGCCGUCCAUGAGCUAGAACGUUUCUUGGAUGAAAGAAACCCAACUGGCAUUUAAGGAACCUCUGAGGCAUAUUAGACCUGGCAGGAAACAUCUUUAAAGAAACCUGUCAACUUUUCCCAAUUGUUCUGACAAUUCCCUCCUGUUAACAAAAUGUUAAUAUUCCAAAAAUGUUCAAAUUCUCUUGUAUUAACAUAUUCUUUCUCGCUUCUCCCCUUCCUUCCCUCCUGUCCCCCCGCUCUCUCUCAACUAUGGUUAUUGAUGCCCUUUCUGGAAGGUCUGCCCUUCCUCAGAUGAACAUGACCUAAAUUAUUUGGCUCCCGCUCUGAUGGUGUAUUGAUUACUUCCCCAUCCCCAUAAACCACCUCUUGGCAUCUCUCCAGGGGACUGCCUACACUAGAUGAAAUUAAGGGCAACCCUGGCUCUCAACAAGGCCUCACCAAGCAGUUGCUUUGGAGGAGUGAUUCAUGAGUUUAGUUAAUGAUCCUAAUGGCCUCCAAUAAGAACAACCCCUUCCUGCAGCAUAGUCUUUGGGCUACACUGGAUUUAGGGAAACUUCGUUAGGGUUGGGGAUAUUCUCCAACACUAGAGAUCGAACAGGAGAACAAGAACAGCGUGUGUGGUCACCUGCAGAACUAAACUGAGAGCUCUGCUCAGGCGGAAAUGGCUAAUUCUCAUCUUUGAAGAUGGCAUCCUGGGGACUUCCUAUUCUCUGUGGGUUAAUGUGGCAGCGAGAGUUCUUUUUGGUUCCCCUGCUAAGCUGUGCCAGCUUUUGCUUCUACGUUUUCAUAAAAUGUGUGGCUGUGGUUAUGAUUCUGACGUGCAGAAAUUCAGGAACUCCCUGCUUCCUUUCCUCGGGUGGCAUUUAGGCUUUAGAGAAUUCCCAAUCUGCUAAUGAACAAUUCGGGAAUUCUUCAUGGCUUCAUUGAAGUAUCCCAUGGUAAACUUUGCCCCACAAUGCUCCGUUUCUCUAGAAAAUACCGUAUUGCUUUCCCGUGACCUUGCUGCUGACUUUGAUCACUUUGAUCUGCCUCCAGGAGCCUCUGAGAGGCUAAGGCUGGUGAUGUUGACUUUUCUGGGUAACUGACUUGGGUAGAUAGGGCACCCUUAGUUUUAGGAACUUCACACUUAAUCUUCUUCCGAAGGAUAGGAUUGUGUAACACAGUGGGAGUUUGGGGCAUUGCAAUAAAUUUUAGUGGCCAAGUCCCCAGAGCUCCCAGGUCUAUCAGCACACAAAAUGUCCAACCCACUAAAAAUCUUCAUGUGCCCCAGGUCAUCUACCUUUUAGGAAAAACAUCCCAAAUCAUUGAUAUAAGUACAGAGGUUCACAUUAAAUAUAUUUUGUAAGCGUUGAAUGUAUCACUCUACGUGUUGAAAUGCAGGUAACUAGUUGGCAUGUUAUGCCAUUUGCAGACAUUCAACUAAAUAUUUUGUAGUUUUGAUUUUCUGCUUUUUAAAAAAUUUACUGGAACAGUAUUUUUUUCAGAUCUCAAACACUGUCAGUCUAACAGCAUGGGUGUCCUGUCUGUGUUGCCCAAAAGAUAAAAGAGGCCUGAAACCAUCCUUUGUUCCCUGGAGGAUUUGAUGGUAAUGGAGGCAAGAAUCUGGAGGGCAUCAUUUCCAUUGAUUUAACAGCGGCACCCUUUGGGGUGUUCCAGAGAAGUGUGUCAACCGAGGACCCUUCCAUUGCUCUGUACUUCAAAGGAACACUGUUUCAGUUAGCCUUUGCUGUGUGACACCUCCCCCCCCAAUGUGGCUUAAAACAACAAUUAUUUUUCAUGAGAUUCUAUGAAUUAGCUCCAAGGUUUUUGCCCGGGUUCACUCAAGCAGCCGCAUUUGGCUGAAGGGUCAGCUGGGCUCAAAGAUAGAGAUGGUGGGCCUUCUGGCAGGUGUGGCAGUGGGUGCUGGUGACAGUGGGUGCUGGCCAUUGGCUGGGACGCCUCCCUUCUGCUGCAUUUGGCCUCUCCUCUUCCAGUCGGCUAGAUCAGCUUCUUUGUAUGGUGGCCUCUGGGCAGCUUUCAAAGAUGGUGGAAGUAGAUGGGUCACAGUAAGUCACAGCCACAGUCCAGAUUCAACGGGUGGAGGAACAGGCUCUCCUCCUGGACAGCUAAGGGUGCAAAAUUACAGGGCAAAGGGGCCUGGACACUAGAAUGGAAGGAAUUCGCAGUCAUUAAACAACAUACCACAGCCAUGGCACAGAAGGACUGUAGGUCCCAGAAGCUGGGGAGAGGAGAAUGUCUGGAGUCUUCUCAUGUGGUCAUUGCAUCCUUUCUCUUGGACUGUCCACACAUCCUGCAGAGAGGCUGUAGCUCAGCCGUUAGGCUCCUCAUGGAGGAAACGUGGGAUGGGUGCUUAGCUUUAUCAGUCAGGGGUGGAAGUAUGGUGCCCAAAGACACAGCAGGUUAAGAGCAGGCUCUCAAAUCAAAAUGCUCGGUUUGAGCUCUGGCUCCACCACACACUAGCCAUGAUAUGGAAACAAGAGACAUAAACUCUCUAGGCUUUGGCUUCCUCCUCUGAAAAAUGGGAUGACGACUCAAUCUUUUAUUUAUGUAGAUAUGUAUGCUGUGUGUAGAUUCAAUGAGGAAUGCCAUUUUGCUUCAAUAUCUGGUAUUUGUUAAGUCGUAAGUAUUAGUUCUUGUUAUUUUCCAAAGAGAUAGAAUUCAAAUUAAGAAGAGGUGUCCGAAA
RNAcentral lists this long non-coding RNA (5348 nucleotides) under Canis lupus familiaris (dog). Its description in RNAcentral is "lncRNA (ENSCAFG00845016660.1)". The record is from RNAcentral. Lineage: Eukaryota; Metazoa; Chordata; Mammalia; Carnivora; Canidae.